This 498-nucleotide ribosomal RNA is filed under the name uncultured bacterium. Its description in RNAcentral is "partial 16S ribosomal RNA". It matches the Rfam family "Bacterial small subunit ribosomal RNA", at positions 27 to 507 of the family's 1533-position model. The record is from RNAcentral.
GGACGAACGCUGGCGGCGUGCCUAAUACAUGCAAGUUGAGCGCUGAAGGUUGGUACUUGUACCAACUGGAUGAGCAGCGAACGGGUGAGUAACGCGUGGGGAGUCUGCCUUUGAGCGGGGGACAACAUUUGGAAACGAAUGCUAAUACCGCAUAAAAACUUUAAACACAAGUUUUAAGUUUGAAAGAUGCAAUUGCAUCACUCAAAGAUGAUCCCGCGUUGUAUUAGCUAGUUGGUGAGGUAAAGGCUCACCAAGGCGAUGAUACAUAGCCAACCUGAGAGGGUGAUCGGCCACAUUGGGACUGGGACACGGCCCAAACUCCUACGGGAGGCAGCAGUAGGGAAUCUUCGGCAAUGGACGAAAGUCUGACCGAGCAACGCCGCGUGAGUGAAGAAGGUUUUCGGAUCGUAAAACUCUGUUGGUAGAGAAGAACGUUGGUGAGAGUGGAAAGCUCAUCAAGUGACGGUAACUACCCAGAAAGGGACGGCUAACUACGUG